RNAcentral lists this long non-coding RNA (314 nucleotides) under Capsicum annuum. Its description in RNAcentral is "long non-coding RNA (CANN_LNC007048)". Lineage: Eukaryota; Viridiplantae; Streptophyta; Magnoliopsida; Solanales; Solanaceae. The record is from RNAcentral.
GAAGGGUUCAUCCGGGUGAAGUCCUGAACCCUAGCUGCUUUGGGAGUGGCCACUUUAUUGGCUGAAAUGACUGGUGGCCGUUCAUUCUGUGCAGCCAUGGACUGAGCAAGUGUGGGAAAUGCGGCUCUAAACACCGCAUGGGAAACAUGUUUGCCCAAAGGAUCUUCGGGCUGAGGAGCUAGCUGGUUUCUUCUAUUUGGGGCCAUGGUCAGGACUAAGAGAAGAAUGGAUUAGAAUGAGAGUUUAACUUGUGAUUAUGCUUACUAGCAUGACAUGAAUAAUGAAGAAAGGGGACUGUUCCUAAAACAUCUUAU